Molecule: ribosomal RNA, 323 nt
Filed under: uncultured eukaryote
Lineage: Eukaryota
Description: partial 18S ribosomal RNA
Rfam family: Eukaryotic small subunit ribosomal RNA
Source: RNAcentral
CCCUUAGAUGUUCUGGGCCGCACGCGCGCUACACUGAUGAAUUCAACGAGCACUAACCUGUGCCGAAAGGUUCGGGUAAUCUUGUGAAAUUUCAUCGUGAUGGGGAUUGAUUAUUGCAAUUUUUAAUCAUAAACGAGGAAUGCCUAGUAAGCGUGAGUCAUCAGCUCACGUUGAUUACGUCCCUGCCCUUUGUGCACACCGCCCGUCGCUCCUACCGAUUGGAUGAUCCGGUGAGCUAUUCGGACUUUCGCAUUGUCGAUUUUCGGCUUUACGAGGGAAAGUCUCGCGAACCUUAUCAUCUAGAGGAAGGAGAAGUCGUAACA